UUCACAUCUGUGUUUAGCAGUUGAAUGUAGUUACUCUAACAUUUAUAUACUUGCCACAAACCUGUCUGAACUAACAUCUGUGCAGAAAGCACAACAUAAAUUUGAUUAAUGCACAAAAGCACUUUGCAUGGC
Tinamus guttatus (white-throated tinamou) is the source of this 132-nucleotide non-coding RNA. Lineage: Eukaryota; Metazoa; Chordata; Aves; Tinamiformes; Tinamidae. The record is from RefSeq and is a predicted model, not a curated record.